Molecule: ribosomal RNA, 253 nt
Filed under: uncultured bacterium
Lineage: Bacteria
Description: partial 16S ribosomal RNA
Rfam family: Bacterial small subunit ribosomal RNA
Source: RNAcentral
UACGGGGGGGGCAAGCGUUGUUCGGAAUUACUGGGCGUAAAGGGUUCGUAGGUGGCCUACUAAGUCACACGUGAAAUCCCUCGGCUCAACCGGGGAACUGCGUGUGAUACUGGCGGGCUUGAAUUCGGGAGAGGGAUGUGGAAUUCCAGGUGUAGCGGUGAAAUGCGUAGAUAUCUGGAGGAACACCGGUGGCGAAGGCGGCAUCCUGGACCGAGAUUGACGCUGAGGCGCGAAAGCUAGGGUAGCAAACGGG